CGUCAGCGGGCUCUCAAGUAAGUUCACGGCUGAGUCGAUAUCACCGUUGUCAUUCUGUCAGGCUGUUGCUAUCCAUUUGCUCCAUCGGCUUGGUUUCCAGCCCCUAUGCCUGUGUCUGUGUUUUUUAUUCUUUGCAUCUGUGAUUAUGUGAAGAAGUAACGUAGUGGAGGGAGGGAUUCAGAAAUGUCUUCCCUAAACACCCCACCUUUUUUUAAGAGACAGAGAGAUACUGGCUCUGGAGAAAAUGUGACUCAGCGGUAGAAUUGAUGCCCUUGACUCUGAAAUCUAGGAACUGAAACUAAGCUUUUCUUUUAAUUAUUGCUAUGGUACCAAUCUUUCUCUGGAAGGUAAAAUGGAUAAUUCUGUUUUUGCUCUUCAAAGCAUAAGUCCAUCUGAAUCUGAGACUGGAUUGUAUCAGACUUUCCUUUUGUUCUUAUGGUGGUUUACCUCAAAUUAAUCCUGUUAUAAAUGUCUGUCUUACGUUCUUUUUCUUCAUGUAAUUUUAUCUUUCCUCUAACCAGUUAAAAAGCCUUCAUCAGUUACUGGAGGUACUACUUGCUCUGUUGGACAAAGACGUCCCAGAAAAUUGUAAAAACUGUGCUCAGUACUUUUUCCUGUUCAACACUUUUGUACAAAAGGUAAAUAAUUUUUUUCCUAAUAUCUUUUCCUAAUACAGAAGAUUUAUACUCUAAAAAAUUUUUAGACUGGAUAGUAAAGUUCUAUAUGGUAUGUUUUUUAUGAUGUUUCUUCCUAAAAAUCUUGUGAAUUAUAUUACUUGUAAGAAUUCUGAUGAGGUGGGUAUAGUUACUCAUUGAUAGCAGUAGAAGUCUGCAUUAAAACUAGGGGUUAAUUGUUUAGUAGUUAUUGUGAAGCAAUGUGAGGCUCAGGAGUUUUUUUAAUUAGAUUUUAACAAGUACUUUCUAUAUGGAAAUAAUAUUCUUAAAAAAUAUAUUGACUCCUUAAAACUUUCCAUUUAGCUGUGUUUUUAAAACCAAUUUUUGUCUGGAUAGAAAUAUAAUUUGUUAUUCUCAAUAUCUUGUGACAGCAAGGAAUUAGGGCUGGAGAUCUUCUUCUGAGGCAUUCAGCUCUGCGGCACAUGAUCAGCUUCCUCCUAGGGGCCAGUCGGCAAAACAAUCAGAUACGUCGAUGGAGUUCAGCACAAGCACGAGAAUUUGGGAAUCUUCACAAUACAGUGGCGUUACUUGUUUUGCAUUCAGAUGUCUCAUCCCAAAGGAAUGUUGGUAAGCUUAACAUAUCUUAGAAUGAAGAGAUACUGAAUUUGUCUAGCUUGGAG
RNAcentral lists this long non-coding RNA (1294 nucleotides) under Homo sapiens (human). Its description in RNAcentral is "HSALNT0007115". The record is from RNAcentral. Lineage: Eukaryota; Metazoa; Chordata; Mammalia; Primates; Hominidae.